AGCGAACGCUGGCGGCAGGCCUAACACAUGCAAGUCGAACGAACCUUUCGGGGUUAGUGGCGGACGGGUGAGUAACACGUGGGAACGUGCCUUUAGGUGUGGAAUAACUCAGGGAAACUUGUGCUAAUACCGAAUGUGCCCUUCGGGGGAAAGAUUUAUCGCCUUUAGAGCGGCCCGCGUCUGAUUAGCUAGUUGGUUGAGGUAAUGGCUCACCAAGGCGACGAUCAGUAGCUGGUCUGAGAGGAUGAUCAGCCACAUUGGGACUGAGACACGGCCCAAACUCCUACGGGAGGCAGCAGUGGGGAAUCUUGCGCAAUGGGCGAAAGCCUGACGCAGCCAUGCCGCGUGAAUGAUGAAGGUCUUAGGAUUGUAAAAUUCUUUCACCGGGGACGAUAAUGACGGUACCCGGAGAAGAAGCCCCGGCUAACUUCGUG
This 434-nucleotide ribosomal RNA is filed under the name uncultured bacterium. Its description in RNAcentral is "partial 16S ribosomal RNA". It matches the Rfam family "Bacterial small subunit ribosomal RNA", at positions 29 to 507 of the family's 1533-position model. The record is from RNAcentral.